Molecule: long non-coding RNA, 503 nt
Organism: Dendronephthya gigantea
Lineage: Eukaryota; Metazoa; Cnidaria; Anthozoa; Malacalcyonacea; Nephtheidae
Exons: 3
Source: RefSeq, a predicted model, not a curated record
AUUUAAAGUACUUGGUGUUGAACUGAAUGUUUGAAGUCAACGUUAGUUUUGGUUUUACCAGGUUUCAAAAUAUAUAUCAGAGAUCUCGGCACAAGAUGAAAUCAGAGAUUAUACGAAGUAACUACGCGCAUUAGGCCGAUGCAUUUAAAUUAACACCACGGAUAUUUUACAACAUUGAGUUGAACAAAUUAACCGACAGGAUACCAUCAGAGUGUUUGGUUUAUUUUGUCUGCUGGAUUUGUGAACAUUUCUUUGCGUUGAUCAAUUUAUUUGUGGCCUGUGGAAUUGUGUUUACGUCGUGAAUGAUCAGAUUUCGUAGCCAUAGAAAUAAGAAGUUUUAUCAUGUGAAGAAAAAUAUCUUAUUCAAGUUGUCAUCUUUAAUGAUCGUUUAUGGUGAUUCGUUUAACCAAGUUUGAGGUUUUAAAUCUACAUUUCAGUCCAUCUGUCCGUUAUCCUUCCUGAGAAUUUUGACCAUGUUGUGGAAUCAUCGCUUUGAAGAUUUG